AAGAAGAGGAGGAGGAAGAGGUUAUCCAGUUUACUCGUGAUGAGCUUCUGGAUUUGAGAGUCUCAGCUGCUGAUCUAUUCCUGCAUUCAGCUGAAUUAUGAAGGCUGAUCAAUGACUGGAGAUCUGUGAUUGUUCAUCAGUUUCUUCUAGAGUUUCUGCUGGAGAUCAAACUCUUCAGGUCCAUCAUGGAGGACACACACACAGAUCAGGAUUUGUCUACAGGAUGCAGUUCAGUUCAUCAGAAGAGAGCAGAAGCAGAGCCCAGCUGUGUGACUAUGAAGAGUGACUGGUCUAUGGAUCACCCAAUAAAAUUUAAGAGUGAAAACACACGACCUGCUGUCAGGUAGAUCAUCUCUUUAAUAUCU
Danio rerio (zebrafish) is the source of this 365-nucleotide non-coding RNA. The record is from RefSeq and is a predicted model, not a curated record. NCBI's taxonomy places the organism in Eukaryota, Metazoa, Chordata, Actinopteri, Cypriniformes, Danionidae.